Motacilla alba alba is the source of this 1267-nucleotide long non-coding RNA. RefSeq lists it as uncharacterized. The record is from RefSeq and is a predicted model, not a curated record. The transcript is spliced from 3 exons. Lineage: Eukaryota; Metazoa; Chordata; Aves; Passeriformes; Motacillidae.
UAGAGAACCAGCUCUGAGCUCUGCUGAAGCCCAGCUUGCAACCUGGGUGUCACAGCGUGGAGCUGGACUCAUUCAAAAAUCGAGUGAUGUCCCCUCUAAUAAAAGAACCUGCUCUGCAAGGUUUCCCCAAAGGCAUCCCAGAAAAGCCCAUGGCCUAAGUCCAUCCUGAUCCGUGGCUUUGCAUCCUGUGAUCCUGACUUGAAGCCAGGCAGCUCUGUCUGAUCACAGCAGAGUGGAGCUCACUGUGGCACAGGAAAUCAGGCUGUUCAUCAGCCAGGUGUUUUCCAGAGAACCACAAUUCCUCCGUGCACCUGAGUGACAGAUGCCAGCUGAAGUGACUGUUUCCUCUGGAGGAAAUGGUUUGCUUUCUGUAAAGGCCUGGGCACGUUCUGCCCUGCUCUGAGUGCCAGCACAUGCUGAUGGUUGAAGCAGUGGGCAACACAAAGCCUUUCUGGGCAGAAGUUCUUCCCCAGCUCCAUGUACCCCACGGGCUGUCCCAGGGGGUGGCACAGCUCAGCAGCUCCAGGUGCACCUUCAGGCUCAACCAAGAGGAAAAACAUCACAUCUUGCAAAGGGAAUUCAGCUCUGGGAGCUUUGUGGGUUGCAUCUGCACCCUGCUGGAGCUGGUGGCCACGAGGUCAAACACGUCUGCGUGUGCUGGUGUGGAGGGGAAGGACAACGCCGUGCUAUCCAGCAGGGAUAAUCACUCGGGUCAUACGGACCAUCCCCGGGAAGAAAGAUGAACUUGCAUUUUUCUCCAGUGAUGAUGGUGAUGUCAUGAUAUGGUAAACAAAGUAUUUCAUCUUUUCUCCUUUUCUUCACUCAGUUCCAGGAGCUAUGCAGGGUUUUCUGCCAGAAAGCUGACUUUUCUCCUGGCUGAGGCUCGAGGGCCCAUCAGUGCUGAAACAUCACUGGAAUGUUCUGUCCUGCAGACACAGGGGAACAAAAACCUCUCUGGAGGAGGAAACACGAGCCUUAGAGCUACAGGCUUUGUUUCUGUACCUGUCACAGUUAUUUAUUAUUUCAGGCAACUUCUGAAUUUAUAUAGUGCUCCUGAAAAGUGGUGCUGAGCCCUGAAUAAGUAGAUGAAUGGACUCUCAGCACUUCAGUGUUCAUUUUGGCCAGAAAAUGGAAAGCACUGUGAUGGAACAGAAGGUACAGCAUCUGAAGUUACUGGGUCAUGUAGCAACAGCCAGUGAUGCUUUUAUUUCCCACUGGUACAGCCUUGAAGGCAGCUGGUUUGGGGGCUGAAUAAAAGUGCAGUUUG